AGUGAACGCUGGCGGUAGGCCUAACACAUGCAAGUCGAACGGCAGCACAGUAAGAGCUUGCUCUUACGGGUGGCGAGUGGCGGACGGGUGAGGAAUACAUCGGAAUCUACUUUUUCGUGGGGGAUAACGUAGGGAAACUUACGCUAAUACCGCAUACGACCUGCGGGUGAAAGCAGGGGAUCUUCGGACCUUGCGUGAUUGAAUGAGCCGAUGUCGGAUUAGCUAGUUGGCGGGGUAAAGGCCCACCAAGGCGACGAUCCGUAGCUGGUCUGAGAGGAUGAUCAGCCACACUGGAACUGAGACACGGUCCAGACUCCUACGGGAGGCAGCAGUGGGGAAUAUUGGACAAUGGGCGCAAGCCUGAUCCAGCCAUACCGCGUGGGUGAAGAAGGCCUUCGGGUUGUAAAGCCCUUUUGUUGGGAAAGAAAAGCAGCAGGUUAAUACCCCGCUGUUCUGACGGUACCCAAAGAAUAAGCACCGGCUAACUUCGUG
This 492-nucleotide ribosomal RNA is filed under the name uncultured bacterium. RNAcentral describes it as "partial 16S ribosomal RNA". It matches the Rfam family "Bacterial small subunit ribosomal RNA", at positions 29 to 507 of the family's 1533-position model. The record is from RNAcentral.